This 85-nucleotide transfer RNA is filed under the name Pseudonocardia thermophila. RNAcentral's name for it is "tRNA_Ser_CGA". It matches the Rfam family "tRNA". Rfam says of the family: Transfer RNA (tRNA) molecules are approximately 80 nucleotides in length. The record is from RNAcentral. Lineage: Bacteria; Bacillati; Actinomycetota; Actinomycetes; Pseudonocardiales; Pseudonocardiaceae. RNAcentral also lists the same sequence under 1 other name.
GGUAGCGUGUCCGAGCGGCCGAAGGAGCGCGCCUCGAAAGCGCGUGAUGUGCAAGCAUCCGUGGGUUCAAAUCCCACCGCUACCG